UCGUUGGAGAGUUUGAUCCUGGCUCAGGACGAACGUUGGCGGCGUGCCUAAUGCAUGCAAGUCGAACGAGGGACCUUUUCCGGGCAACCGGAGGAGGUCACCUAGUGGCGAACGGGUGAGUAGCACUUGAGGAACCUGCCCCGGAGACCGGAAUAGCCCAGGGAAACUUGGAUUAAUGCCGGAUGUCCUCGGUUGGCCGCAUGGCCGAUCGAGGAAACAGUCCGCUGCUCCGGGAUGGCCUCGAGGCCUAUCAGCUAGUUGGUGAGGUAACGGCCCACCAAGGCGACGACGGGUAGCUGGUCUGAGAGGACGAUCAGCCACACUGGGACUGAGACACGGCCCAGACUCCUGCGGGAGGCAGCAGCAGGGAA
Actinobacteria bacterium RBG_16_67_15 is the source of this 371-nucleotide non-coding RNA. The record is from Rfam. Lineage: Bacteria; Bacillati; Actinomycetota.